RNAcentral lists this ribosomal RNA (439 nucleotides) under uncultured bacterium. RNAcentral's name for it is "bacterial SSU rRNA". It matches the Rfam family "Bacterial small subunit ribosomal RNA", at positions 958 to 1397 of the family's 1533-position model. The record is from RNAcentral.
AACGCGAAGAACCUUACCUGGGUUUGACAUGCACAGGACGCUGGUAGAGAUAUCAGUUCCCUUGUGGUCUGUGUGCAGGUGGUGCAUGGCUGUCGUCAGCUCGUGUCGUGAGAUGUUGGGUUAAGUCCCGCAACGAGCGCAACCCUUGUCUCAUGUUGCCAGCGGGUAAUGCCGGGGACUCGUGAGAGACUGCCGGGGUCAACUCGGAGGAAGGUGGGGAUGACGUCAAGUCAUCAUGCCCCUUAUGUCCAGGGCUUCACACAUGCUACAAUGGCCGGUACAAAGGGCUGCGAUGCCGUGAGGUUAAGCGAAUCCUUUAAAGCCGGUCUCAGUUCGGAUCGGGGUCUGCAACUCGACCCCGUGAAGUCGGAGUCGCUAGUAAUCGCAGAUCAGCAACGCUGCGGUGAAUACGUUCCCGGGCCUUGUACACACCGGCUAC